AACGAACGCUGGCGGCAUGCCUAACACAUGCAAGUCCAACGAGACCUUCGGGUCUAGUGGCGCACGGGUGCGUAACGCGUGGGAACCUGCCCUUAGGUUCGGAAUAACUCCCCGAAAGGGGUGCUAAUACCGGAUAAUGUCUUCGGACCAAAGAUUUAUCGCCUUUGGAUGGGCCCGCGUUGGAUUAGCUAGUUGGUAGGGUAAAAGCCUACCAAGGCGACGAUCCAUAGCUGGUCUGAGAGGAUGAUCAGCCACACUGGGACUGAGACACGGCCCAGACUCCUACGGGAGGCAGCAGUGGGGAAUAUUGGACAAUGGGCGAAAGCCUGAUCCAGCAAUGCCGCGUGUGUGAUGAAGGCCUUAGGGUUGUAAAGCUCUUUUACCCGGGAUGAUAAUGACAGUACCGGGAGAAUAAGCUCCGGCUAACUCCGUG
This 433-nucleotide ribosomal RNA is filed under the name uncultured bacterium. RNAcentral's name for it is "partial 16S ribosomal RNA". It matches the Rfam family "Bacterial small subunit ribosomal RNA", at positions 29 to 507 of the family's 1533-position model. The record is from RNAcentral.